AUGCAAGUCGAGGGCAUCGGGAUUGAAGCUUGCUUCAAUUGCCGGCGACCGGCGCACGGGUGCGUAACGCGUAUGUAACCUACCUAUAACAGGGGCAUAACACUGAGAAAUUGGUACUAAUUCCCCAUAAUAUUCGGAGAGGCAUCUCUCCGGGUUGAAAACUCCGGUGGUUAUAGAUGGACAUGCGUUGUAUUAGCUAGUUGGUGAGGUAACGGCUCACCAAGGCAACGAUACAUAGGGGGACUGAGAGGUUAACCCCCCACACUGGUACUGAGACACGGACCAGACUCCUACGGGAGGCAGCAGUGAGGAAUAUUGGUCAAUGGACGCAAGUCUGAACCAGCCAUGCCGCGUGCAGGAAGACGGCUCUAUGAGUUGUAAACUGCUUUUGUACGAGGGUAAACUCACCUACGUGUAGGUGACUGAAAGUAUCGUACGAAUAAGGAUCGGCUAACUCCGUGCCAGCAGCCGCGGUAAUACGGAGGAUUCAAGCGUUAUCCGGAUUUAUUGGGUUUAAAGGGUGCGUAGGCGGUUUGAUAAGUUAGAGGUGAAAUCCCGGGGCUUAACUCCGGAACUGCCUCUAAUACUGUUAGACUAGAGAGUAGUUGCGGUAGGCGGAAUGUAUGGUGUAGCGGUGAAAUGCUUAGAGAUCAUACAGAACACCGAUU
This 668-nucleotide ribosomal RNA is filed under the name uncultured Bacteroidales bacterium. Its description in RNAcentral is "bacterial SSU rRNA". It matches the Rfam family "Bacterial small subunit ribosomal RNA", at positions 55 to 714 of the family's 1533-position model. Lineage: Bacteria; Pseudomonadati; Bacteroidota; Bacteroidia; Bacteroidales. The record is from RNAcentral.